RNAcentral lists this non-coding RNA (529 nucleotides) under Pongo abelii (Sumatran orangutan). The record is from RNAcentral. Lineage: Eukaryota; Metazoa; Chordata; Mammalia; Primates; Hominidae.
GAGAAAUUCGGCGACGCAUUCAGGGCUCAGCCGGUAGAUGUGCUGAGAAUCUUCGGUAGACAACUGUCGAAGUACGGGGGACAAACUUUCAAGAUUUCCAGAAGUUAAGGAAAGAGAUGCAAAAGCAGAGAAAAGGCGACUUGUCUUUUCAGUGUUGCAUUACUGUGUGGCGUAAAGCAUCUUCUAAAAAGCUCCUGUGGCCGGGCGCGGUGGCUCACGUCUGUAAUCCCAGCACUUUGGGAGGCCGAAGCGGGCGAAUCACUUGAGAAAAGUUCUAGGAAGAAGCCCAGCCCAGAAAAACGAAAACCAAAAUGUUUGGAUCCAGAAAUGCCUGAGUGAAGAUGAACUUUGGUGAACUCCCCUUACAAUCCUGCUAAAAUCCCCGCCCAGGGAAGAGCUUAUUCACCAUUUUCUAUACAUGCAACGUAUGUAGAAGCAUGAUCAGCAAUUGUGUCUUCGCUGCCUUUACUCCACCUGUACAUACAAUGACUGAGCUAACCAGCCCAAUAAAAGCACUGUUUUCACUGUU